UUGGUGGCUGGGACCUGAUAGCUGGGGUCCUGGCCACCCCUAGGUGCACCUGGCACCCAUUCCCCCGGUGUGUGGGAGCUGUGUUCCUGGGAGAGGUGCAGCAGGUUCCCAGGAUCCCAAGCCAAGAAGGCUCCCCAGGGUGCUGAGGACCUCACAAAGAGGGGAGAAGCCACCUGCCUAAUUAAACAGCAGCAACAAGCUUUGCGUUGCCAGCCAUGCCUGAGCACAACGUGAACUUCAGUGACACUUAGAAGAGGAAACGGGCUGCCUUCUGGGUCUCUCCGCUAAUAUUUGGAAGCCUGACAGCUAUGUCCCAAGCCCGUGGUACAAGCUUAUAAAUAACUCAUGGAGCCUGGUUUCAAGUCCAGCCUGUGGCUGGCUACCUACAGCAGCUCUCGCUGCCACCACACACCAGAUCUGGGUAUCUGCCCCACGCAGAGCAUCCUCAGCACCCAGAGCCCUGCUAAGGAGAGCGGUGGCACUGCAGGGUGGCACUGGCCUCGCUGUGGGACACCUGAGCACAAAGCCCCGCAUGCAGCUCUUUGCAGCGUGGCUUGUGGGGGUCGCAGUUCCCUGCCUGUAGGAGAAGGGACCGAGGAGCCAACGGGAAGGCGUUGGGUCCUGGGUGCAUGGAGUGUGGGGGCUUUGCCGCGCCGUUAUCUAAAUGCAGAUGUCAGAGAGCGAGAGCUGCUGUGUAAAUAACAUCCCCCAUGAUACGAGAUACAUCAUUUGUAAUGAAGCUAUGAAAGCUGCAA
Long non-coding RNA from Oxyura jamaicensis (ruddy duck), 755 nucleotides. RefSeq lists it as uncharacterized. Lineage: Eukaryota; Metazoa; Chordata; Aves; Anseriformes; Anatidae. The record is from RefSeq and is a predicted model, not a curated record. The transcript is spliced from 4 exons.